UCUAAUAUGGCAGAAUAGUGCAAUGGAUUUAAACCCCAUUCAAAAAGCUUAAAGCUUUUUUUAGAA
RNAcentral lists this transfer RNA (66 nucleotides) under Lucanus cervus. Its description in RNAcentral is "tRNA-Leu". It matches the Rfam family "tRNA". Rfam says of the family: Transfer RNA (tRNA) molecules are approximately 80 nucleotides in length. RNAcentral also lists the same sequence under 1 other name. The record is from RNAcentral. Lineage: Eukaryota; Metazoa; Arthropoda; Insecta; Coleoptera; Lucanidae.